This 73-nucleotide transfer RNA is filed under the name Mustela putorius furo (domestic ferret). It matches the Rfam family "tRNA". Rfam says of the family: Transfer RNA (tRNA) molecules are approximately 80 nucleotides in length. Their secondary structure includes four short double-helical elements and three loops (D, anti-codon, and T loops). Further hydrogen bonds mediate the characteristic L-shaped molecular structure. tRNAs have two regions of fundamental functional importance: the anti-codon, which is responsible for specific mRNA codon recognition, and the 3' end, to which the tRNAs corresponding amino acid is attached (by aminoacyl-tRNA synthetases). tRNAs cope with the degeneracy of the genetic code in two manners: having more than one tRNA (with a specific anti-codon) for a particular amino acid; and 'wobble' base-pairing, i.e. permitting non-standard base-pairing at the 3rd anti-codon position. Lineage: Eukaryota; Metazoa; Chordata; Mammalia; Carnivora; Mustelidae. The record is from Rfam by way of RNAcentral.
GCCUAGCUGGCUCAGUCAGUACAGCAUGAGACUCUUGAUCUUGAAAUCAUGAGUUCAAGCCCCACACUGGGCA